UGUGCAAAUGGGCGUGGGCAGAGAUUUUAUUGCCAAAACAGUUUCUCCAUUACGAAAUGUUUUGAAAAGGAUUUCUUUCUUUCUUUCUUUUUUUUUUUCCGGUAUGGCGUAUAGCAUUUUGCCAUAUUGAGAAGUUCUUCAGAAAAAUGUUCCAUUGAGGAGUUCAACCAAAGGUUGGCUAGAAUGAGGGCUAUGCCCAGCCUUGUUUCUGCCCACACUUUUGGCUCUGCUGCCCAGGCUCCUUGCUCUUCAGCCUCACGCCUCAAGUUUCAUUGCCAAGACCUUUCACUGCACUCAGGGGUAAGUCUAUGGUGCUUUCAGCCAGCCCCCAAGAAUUUAGAAAUUGCCCCAGUCUUUGCUCUGACUCUGGCAUGGUAGGUUGUGUGGGAAGGGUGAUCAGCUUGCACUUUGAUAAUUGCAGUUUUUCCUGGGAAUCCCCAAAUACUGCUUGCCUUUAAGGUUGCAUCCAAGAGAGCCCCUUUACUCAUCUGAUUUUGAUUUCUGUCCUUUUGAGAUGUUUUGUAAUGAUUGGUUGGAAGGAGAUUCAGAAGGCUCCUGCUACUAUGCUACCAUCUUAGCUCUGCCCCUCUUCUAAUCUUUUAAAUUAAGGGAUUGGACUAGAUGAAUGAUUUCCUCUAGCUUUAAAUCUGUACUCCCCUUGAUAUGACACAAAUGAGAUUAUGGAGAUUAUAGGUUAAAAGAAAUAAAGAAGGGAAAGGACAUUUAAGCA
RNAcentral lists this long non-coding RNA (730 nucleotides) under Monodelphis domestica (gray short-tailed opossum). RNAcentral describes it as "lncRNA (ENSMODG00000037254.1)". The record is from RNAcentral. Lineage: Eukaryota; Metazoa; Chordata; Mammalia; Didelphimorphia; Didelphidae.